Molecule: long non-coding RNA, 155 nt
Organism: Sapajus apella (tufted capuchin)
Lineage: Eukaryota; Metazoa; Chordata; Mammalia; Primates; Cebidae
Exons: 3
Source: RefSeq, a predicted model, not a curated record
AGAAAUCAAGGGAAGAAGGGAGGUAAGCAGAAACAGUGCAUCCUAACUCUGUGCCCAGUGGUUAGACAGAGUGUCUUGCCCAGUGACCUGGCUCUGAAAUUUGGCUAUAAACACUCAAGCCUGAAGACUUGGCCUCCAGUCAUAUCUCAGGAUAC